This is a long non-coding RNA of Notolabrus celidotus (New Zealand spotty), 1371 nucleotides long. RefSeq lists it as uncharacterized. The transcript is spliced from 2 exons. The record is from RefSeq and is a predicted model, not a curated record. NCBI's taxonomy places the organism in Eukaryota, Metazoa, Chordata, Actinopteri, Labriformes, Labridae.
AGAAGGAGGUGGGAGAUCAGUCAAUCAGAGGCUUAUGCGGUUCACAUUUUCCUCUCUGUAUGUGUGUUUUGCAGGAGACAAGAGAGAGGAGAGGAAAGGAGAGAGAGGAGAUGGAUGGAGUGCUAUAGAGGAGAAGAAAGGAGGAGAAAAGCGCCUAAAGAUGACCCUGGGCUGAGUGAAGUAGCAGCGUGGCGCUUAUCCAUAAAACUGACACCCCUGGGAGAAAAGGGAGUCGGACCUGAAACCUGACAGUGUCAGCGGCCUCACCGGAAGCCUCACCUCUGGUUUACUCUUGCAACAGGUGCCUGAGCCAAGUGACGCACACGUAACACAGGCUGGAGAAAGGGAAGAUGGGAAGUAUGGAUUUCACAGCAUGGGUGUGUUUGCGGCAGCGGGGCCGGGUGACAUCUUUCAUCAAACUGAAAGUCUCUCUCCGCUGAUAAGAUGGAAAACUGUGUGCAGGUGGGAUUAAACUCCACGUCAUUUUUGAAUUCAGAAUAAAAUGUGUCACAGAUCAUUCUUGGUUAAUAUUUGGAGCAUUUCUUUCUUUAUUUUCCCUCAUACUGAAAACCUAAUUCCUUUCUCCUCACUUCUUCGUCCUGCCAAGGAUUAUUUCAUUUUUGAUGUAUAACCAUUUUCUGCACUGGACAUAUCCUCUUUUCUUUUCCACACACUGUAAUAUUUUUCUAAUAUUGAACUUAUGUUAAUGCUAAACCACAGGGGGAAUGACUCAACAGAGAAUGUGCCAUUGCUUUAAAACUUAAUUUUUGAGCAUCAUACUUCCUCAAUUGUGGUAUUAUUGUGCACUAAAGUAUGUUUUAUCACUGUGUUACAGGCAUUAAUAUGUAUAACUGCAUCACUAUGUGCCUGCUGGGAUGCAUUUAUUGUUCCAAACAAUAGUGAAAAAAUAUGUUUAUUUCUUAAACUAGUCCCAGGUAAAGAACCAUUCUCUGGUUUUCUCUUAAAAGAGAAAGAAAUCAAGUUAACAGUGAUUGGACAUGCUUUUAUUGGAACGCUUUAUCUAAGAACACAAAUAACUGUUCUAUAUACAGUGCAAGAAAAAGUGUAUAAUCUGCAUCCUGUUGUUUUGAAAAGUUGCUCAAAAUGCUGCUUCUGUCACGCAGCUUUUCUCCAUGUCAGAGAAAAAACAUGCUAUAAAUGAUUGCACUGUAUUUUAGUACGUCAAACUCAUAAUUACAUAUAACUGCACACAUGCACGUAUAUAACACUUCACUUCUUGUGACUCUUGGAUUGAAAGUGCUAACUGUGCUGUAUAAUAUACAUGAGAGAUUACAAUGUAGUGCUUGUAACUGCUUCACUUCACAUUUGACUGACAUGACAAAAAAUAAACACAUUCAGUCGUAUUGUCUG